RNAcentral lists this ribosomal RNA (253 nucleotides) under uncultured bacterium. RNAcentral describes it as "partial 16S ribosomal RNA". It matches the Rfam family "Bacterial small subunit ribosomal RNA", at positions 524 to 776 of the family's 1533-position model. The record is from RNAcentral.
UACGAAGGGGGCUAGCGUUGCUCGGAAUUACUGGGCGUAAAGGGCGCGUAGGCGGAUAGUUUAGUAAGAGGUGAAAGCCCGGAGCUCAACUCCGGAACUGCCUUUUAGACUGCAUCGCUUGAAUCCAGGAGAGGUGAGUGGAAUUCCGAAUGUAGAGGUGAAAUUCGUAGAUAUUCGGAAGAACACCAGUGGCGAAGGCGGCUCACUGGACUGGUAUUGACGCUGAGGUGCGAAAGCGUGGGGAGCAAACAGG